RNAcentral lists this ribosomal RNA (361 nucleotides) under uncultured bacterium. RNAcentral's name for it is "bacterial SSU rRNA". It matches the Rfam family "Bacterial small subunit ribosomal RNA", at positions 8 to 334 of the family's 1533-position model. The record is from RNAcentral.
AGAGUUCGAUUCUGGCUCAGGAUGAACGCCGGCGGCAUGCCUAAGACAUGCAAGUCGAACGAGAUGUACCAAUGAAGAUUGAGUGCUUGCACAAAGUUGGAUUUGGAUUUGCAUCUAGUGGCAGACGGGUGAGUAACACGUGGGUAACCUACCCUGAAGACUGGGAUAACAGUUAGAAAUGACUGCUAAUACCGGAUGAUUCAUGAGAAGAUAACUUUUCAUGCUAAAAGGAGCGUUUGCUUCACUUCAGGAUGGGCUUGCGGUGUAUUAGCUAGUUGGUGGGGUAAUGGCUCACCAAGGCAACGAUGCAUAUCCGAGCUGAGAGGCUGAUCGGACACACUGGGACUGAGACACGGCCCAG